AACGGCUAAAUGAGGACUUAGCUGUCUCUUGCACUUUACUAAUGAAACUGAUCUCUUAGUCCAAAAGCUAAGAUUCCACCACAAGACGAGAAGACCCUGUGGAGCUUAAAACCAAACUCAAACCAUGAACCCCUGGUUUUUAGUUGGGGCGACUUCGGAGCACAAAAAACCCUCCGACACGGAACUUAACCUAAUUAGAUCAACACAUCAACUAAUUCAUGACCCAGCAGUUUAUUUAGCUGCCUGAUCAAUGAACCAAGUUACCCCAGGGAUAACAGCGCCAUCCUCUUUUAGAGUUCCUAUCGACAGGAGGGUUUACGACCUCGAUGUUGGAUCAGGAC
RNAcentral lists this ribosomal RNA (341 nucleotides) under Acanthodactylus scutellatus (Nidua fringe-fingered lizard). RNAcentral describes it as "partial 16S ribosomal RNA". It matches the Rfam family "Bacterial large subunit ribosomal RNA", at positions 1995 to 2543 of the family's 2925-position model. The record is from RNAcentral. Lineage: Eukaryota; Metazoa; Chordata; Lepidosauria; Squamata; Lacertidae.